Molecule: long non-coding RNA, 3576 nt
Filed under: Sus scrofa (pig)
Lineage: Eukaryota; Metazoa; Chordata; Mammalia; Artiodactyla; Suidae
Description: lncRNA (ENSSSCG00000052035.1)
Source: RNAcentral
CCUGUUUGAGUUCAACUUGUUUGGGGCCCUCUGUGCUUCCUGUAACUCUAUAUCAGUAUGCUUUAGAUUUGGAACAUUUUCUGCCACAAUUUCUUCAAAUAUAUUUUCAAUCCCCUUUUCUUUUUCUUUUCCUUCCAGAAUUCUUAUUAUGCAUAGUUUGGCCUGCUUUAUAUUAUCCCAUAUUUUUCAUAUUUUUUCAUUUGGUUUUCUGUCCGCUGUCCUGUUUGGGUAAUUUCCAUUAUUCUAUCUUCCACAUCACUAAUUUGUUCCUCUCCAUUAUUCAUUCUGGCCUUUAUUGCCUUAAGCUCAGGUUGUAUCUCUGCAAAUGAGUUUUCUAGUUUUUAUUGGCUCCUCCUUAUAUUUUCUAGUUCUUUUCUGAGGGAAUCUGCAUUACUGUUCAUAUCUUCUCUUAAUACCUUUAGUAUUUUCACUAUCUCCCUUUUGAACUCAAAGUCUGUCAGACUGCAGAGUUUUGUUUCAUUGUUGACUGCUUUAGGUGAGUUCUCCUGUUGUUUUAACUGGGAGAGGUUUCUGAGUUUUUUCAUCUUGCUUGUGUUUUUCUGUGAAAUAUACCCCUUUGUAUUUUUGGAGGGGUUACUAUUUAUUUUUGGUGUGGGAGUUUGAAUCUUUGCUAUCUCUUUCUUCUGUGCAAUCAGUCUGUUAUCCCCAGGAUGCUCAGUGUGUUUUUGGGAAGAAGGGAGCAAUGGGUAGGGCCAGCAUUCACUGCCUGAGUCAUUAGGCUCUCAACAGAAUCAAAGACUUGCAGAAAGGUGGCACAGGUUACUCCUAUUUGCAGGGCCCUGGAAAGUGAUAAUAAGCUCUAGGAGGAUCUGCAAAGUGACCAGAGAAUUUGGCUGUAGCUGCAGCAGGAUGCAUGAGUUCCCAGGGGGUUGAGAGCAACAACAGCUUAUGUUUGAUUGCAAUGCCCUCCUCUGAGGUAAUUGGAACUGCAGGUGGUGCCUGUUCAGGAACCCCUAGUGGGAGUAGGCCAUGACCAUCUCUAGUUUCAGUGAUUACUGCGGUCGUGUGUCUCCAUCACCUGUAGACCAUGCAUGAGGUGAUCCAUAUUACUUAGCCCACAUAGGAAGUGCUGUACAGGCUGUUCCUAGCUGCAGGAUCCUGGGAAGUGACAGAGAUCUCUCAUAUGGGUACUGCCAUGAACAUUCAGCCGUGGCAGCAGCAGGGUUCGUGUGUUCCCAAGGGUGCAAGAGCACCAAUAUUUGAUUCAGUCACAAUGCCUGCCUCUGUGAUGCCCUUGAGGUGAAUGGGGCUGCAAGUGGUGCCUGUUCACUGACUCCUAGUUGGGCCACUGCCACCUCUGGAGCCAGAGAUAACUGCAGCAGUUUUCCCCCACCACCUGUAAAUCAUGCACGAAGCACCUGGUCCUGCUUAGCCCCCACAGGAUGUGCUGAACUAGGUGCUCUUAGUUGCAGGUUCCUAGGAAGGGACAGUGAUCAAGUGUCUGGGCCCCUCCCAGAAUGUUUGGCAGUGGCAGCUACAGUGUGGUGUGCUCCCUGGGGAGCGAGAGCAACAUCAGGUGCUUUUCCAUUGUAGAGUCCUUCUCUGCGAUGCCCCCUGAAGUGGUUGGGGCUGCAAGUGAUUUUUGUUCAGUUAUUCCCAGUUGUGGUAGGCCAUGCCCACUUCUAGAGUCAGGGAUAAUUGUUGUGGUUUGCUCCUGCCACCUGCAGGUCCAGUCCAUGGUGGUCUAGCAAGCAGUUUCCCACUUCUGGAGACACCAGGCCUGCAGUGGGCUAGCAAGCGACUUCUGGUCGUGAGGGGCUGCACCUGAGAUGCGUAGUCUAGGGCCUGCAGGGAUGGGGUGGCCCAGAGUGCUAAGGAGCAGUGGCUUGGCCUCCCGCAGUGGUGGGGGAGGAGGUGGAGGCAUCCCGGAGUGUUACCAACAGCCUGCAGCUUCCCAUGGGGGCGGGGGUGGCCGGAGUGAGGCUUCUGGUCACACCCUUGGGGCAUGCUGUGCUGGGGGAUGCUCUGUCCUCUGUGAGCCAUUGGGGCAAGUGUGCGCUCGGGUGCAAGGAGUUUUCUAUGGCUGCGGCUAGCCCCUUCUCCUCUCCCCUCCCCAACAAUGGCACCUUAUCUCUCCUGUGGCUCCGGACCUUCUCCUGGGCUCCCUCUGCCAUGGCUUUCCACUUCCCAGCCCUUAGUGUACCACUUCUCCCACCUAAGGCAGCACUGCUCCCUAGUGCCUUAGGCUGUCUCCACACCACCAAUUCCAGCCCGCUCCCAGGGACUGACCUCCAGAGUCUUAAGUCUCACUGCCAACCCCCACCUGAGCUUCUCAGGCUGUGGUGUCUGCACCAGUGGUUCAGAUGAUCUGUGCUUCUCUCACUCUGCUUUUCAGUUCUCAGUCCAGCUGCUGCGCUUUCCUUGGCGUCUUGGAUAUCUCUCCGACUCUGCUGAUCUUUCCCUUUAUGUGGCUUCCCAGGGUGUGGGUUCCCUUUCUCCUUCACAGCUACCUCUCGGGAAUGCUUGUCCUGCUCUGAUUCCUUUUCUCUCUCCCUUUUUUCUUUUGUUCUACCCAGUUAUGUCAAGAGUUUCUUGCCCUUUUUGGAGGUUUAAGUUCUUCUGCCAGCAUGCAGUUGACAUCCUGUGUGAGUCGUUUUACAUGUAGAUGUGGUUUUUUUGAGGUGUUUGUGGGAGAGGGUGAGCAUGUCCUCUUACUCUUGCACCAUCUUGUCUGAAUAGUAUUUUGUUUUGUUUUGUUUUGCUUUUUAUGGCCACAUCCAUGGCUGGGGUUGAAUCAGAGCUGUAGCCGCCAGCCUAUGCCAAACCCCCCAUAGCAACACCAAAUCCUAAGCUGUGUCUGCAACCAACAUCACAGCUCUUGGCAGUGCUGGAUCCUUAACCCACUGAGCAGGGCCAGGGAUCAAACCUGCAUCCUCAUGGAUACUAGUCAGGUUCAUUUCCACUGAGCCACAGUAGGAAAUCUAUGGUUUCCAGAGUUUUUAUUAAGGUGUUUUAAUUAAUGUACUACUUUUUUUUUUCCCCCUUAUGGAGGAAUAUGACUUGGAACAUCCUAGGCCACAAUAUUCUUGAUGACUUUAUUUUAGUUUUGACUCAAAUGCUUUUAGAAUAUAAUAGAGUAUUGCCAUGUCAAAGGAAGGGACUAAUUUGUUACAUGACUUUUAUGUGUAUCAUGUGGUACCAUAGUUCACUAGUGGUGAAAUAAGUUAAGAAUCUGGCAUUGGCACUGCAGUGGCUCGGGUCACUGCUGAGGCAAGUGUUCGAUCCCUGGCCCAGGAACUUCCACAUGCCACAAGCGUUGCAAUAGAAAAGUUUCAGUAGAUCUGCCAGUUUUUGCUCAUUAAAAAUAAUGCUAUCAGGAGUUCCCUUCGUGGCUCAGUGGUUAACGAAUCCGACUAGGAACCAUGAGAUUGUGGGUUCGGUCCCUGCCCUUGCUCAGUGGGUUAACGAUCCGGCGUUGCCGUGAGCUGUGGUGUAGGUUGCAGACUCGGCUCGGAUCCUGCGUUGCUGUGGCUCUGGCGUAGGCCGAUGGCUACAGCUCCAAUUAGACCCCUAGCCUGGGCUCCAUAUGCCACGGGAGCGGCCCAAAGAAAUAGC